CGGCCUCCCAAAGUGCUGGGAUUACAGGCUUGAGCCACCGCGCCCGGCCCAUAUUCAAUCCUUAUUUGCUAGAUUAUGCUACAAAAUGGAUGUGUAAAAGUAUGUGACUUUUCAUGCCUCUUCUAGAUCUAAACGCUAUAAUUUGAAUACAAAUUUAUUAUCUGUUUAUAAUGUAUAAUCUUCCCAGUGAAGAAUCAUACUCCCUAAGGUUAAUUUGUUGAGCAGGAGAUUGGUAAUUCUGCAUUUAGCCCAGUAGGUGGCACCAACCACAUCCAGGCUUCAAGUCCACAGAGUGGUAAUUCAGGAACCAUGAAAUGCUGUGGGAGAGAUCCGUCUUCUAUUACUCUCAGGACAAAAGGUGCCACAUUUAUGUAUCAAACGAAAAAAGGAAAAAAUUUCUUGAUGUUUUAUCACACGGUCUUUUGGCAGCAAGGUAUAUUACUGGCAGCCUUGAUUAGACCAUGUUAAACUCAGUGUUCUGUUGCAUAAUUUUUACCUAGUAUUUUACUCCCUGUACUACAGUUCUCUCCAUUUCAAAAAAGUCACUGCCCACUUCCUCCACAAUCUUUGUAGAAUAGUGUUCCCUUCUACCACAGAUAAAUCACGUGAUUGGGGCACUAAAAUGAAAAAUAAAAGAUGGUGUUUAUUUGAAGUUUGUAUACUUAAUAGUGUUAUAGGACAGUGUUCCUUCUUCUCUAGUUUCAAAAGAAUUGAACUGCACAAACCUGUCUUAGAGAAAGGGCAGAACAUAAUUUUGGACACACCUCUCAGUAAAUCAGGGUACAGGCUCUUCUGUUCUAAGCAUUUCCAAGUAGAGGAAGGGUUUACCUCAGUACCCUUAGCCAAGAACUCCUCCUCCCACUGUCCUAUGUACUGGUUGGCUGAGUUGCAGUGGUAUGAUCUGUGUAGCUGGCAAAAUACAAUCCUGUGCUAAUAUUACUGAUUUUGUUACACAUCAACAAAUCCCUACUUUUGAAUUCCCUUGAUGCCCAGGAUGUGGCAUUACCAUCAUCCAUGUUAUCUUUGGCAUGCUGCAUCACUUAGUCUGUUUACACCUACGGUGAAGUCUUUACUUUUGAUUUUUCUGGAGACAGGUGACAUUUGAAAGGAUUUACUUUCCCACCAGUGUAAAAUUAUAAUUUGACUCAGGGUGUAUUGUAGGCCCUCCCUAACUUCUACAGAGUCCAGAAAGCAAGUUUGUGGACUUUGGCAGUCACCUAUCUUAGAAAGCACAGGCGCUAAGCAAUCUCUAAAUUCAACUGAAUUUCCCAUCAUAUCUCCUGGUGUUUAAAGAAGAGGUUUAUCUUCAGCAAUGAUAUAACUUGUGUUAAGACAUUUGAUUCUGACAGCUUUUCUUUUCUCUCCUCCCCUCAAUCCCCACCAACUCUUAGCAUUUCCUUGAGGUCUUCUGAGAAAAACCUGAAGGUUGGUUGUGAGUAUUAUGCUACACUUAUAAAUUCAGAUGAAAGCCCAGCGAGGUGGGAAAUGAAUACUCUUGAAACCUUAUUUACUCUCUAACUCCUUCUGUUCUGAAAGCAAGUCAUUCUUCCUGGCUUUAACCUUUACUUCACUUUAGUAUUUUUCUUCCUGAUGGCUGAACUAUACUUCAGCAGGUGCUGCUGAAGGGAAAAUAGUAGUGUUAAGCUAAAAUGCUGAAAGGCAGGGGCGGAAAACCACAGCUAGCUCAAAUCCGGGUCCUUGAUAAGUAGUACUGUUGCUUUCAAGUACAGGCUUUUUCAAGCUUUGAGGCAACAUGAACCUUUUGAAUGUCAAAGUUAGGUUUAUGGUAUUAAUAGGUUAUAAAGUUAAUUUCUAAACUAAGUCAUUCUUUUACUUAAGACCUCACAGAAAUUCAGGGGGAGAAAAACUUUUUUUUUUACCCUAAAUAUAAAUUUUGAAGCUUGUCAAAAUAAACUGUACCCUUAUUAAUAUUAUUUUAAUGGGUGACAACAAAUUCCAUAAUUUGUGGGCAUCACCCACUCAGGAGUGCAGCAGUAUGUCUAGGAAAGUGUUAUCAUAUUUAGCAAAUAAAAAAAGAUACCCUAUUAAAUUUGAAUUUCACCAAAUAAUUUGUAGUAUGUGUGUCCCAAAUAUUUCAUGAGAUAUAUGAAACAUUAUUUGCUGUUUAUAUUAAAAUUCAAAUUUAACUGGGAGUCCCAUAUUUAAGUCUGGCAACUCUAAUUUAGGACAGACUUACUAUGGGUCCUACUGAGCACCCUAUAAUUCUCCCUUUUUCUCCUUUUCAUUGCCUCCCUUCCCCUUCUCACCCUACGCCUGCCAUUCUCUAUGCUUCCUCUUUCUCUUCCCCCAUCUUUAUCUUUUGUUUACUCUUCACUAUCUACAAUUGACCAUUUUUGUGAAAUAUAUCUAUCUGGUUUAUCUGAGGGUAUGUAUAUAUACACAUAACUUAUUAUUCCACUUUUUUAUUUACUUGCAUGUAAUUCUUAAAUGAAUUUUCCCCCUGUGGGACAUGAGCUCUAAACAGAAAAAUAGUCUGCCACUCCAACUUCUUAAAUAAUGUUUGACAAAGUUAUUUUCAAAAAAAAAAAAAUCAAAAAAUUCACAUCAAUGCUAAUACCCACAGUGAUACAAAACAAAACAAAACUAAUUUUUUGUUUUUCUGUUUUUCCCUCCUCAGAAGAAGCUCUUGUUUUCCUAAUGUUUUCCCUUAGGUACUAUGGGCACUACAACUAUGGACAGAGUGACUACUGGCAGAAAUGAACACCAAGUGAGAAUUCUGGGAGCAAAGAUCUACACAGAACAAGGAACUAAAGGAAGUCAGCCUGAUGAUGCAGGAGGGAGGCUCUUUUUUCUGAGGUCACUGUCAGAUGAAGCACUGAAGAAUUUGCAGGCUUUCACUCCAUUUGCUUUGGACAGAUUUAAAGACAAGGCAUAGCCAUUUGUGUUAAUUAAAAUCUCUCAAACCUUU
Molecule: long non-coding RNA, 2929 nt
Organism: Cercocebus atys (sooty mangabey)
Lineage: Eukaryota; Metazoa; Chordata; Mammalia; Primates; Cercopithecidae
Exons: 2
Source: RefSeq, a predicted model, not a curated record